Non-coding RNA from Peromyscus maniculatus bairdii (prairie deer mouse), 1182 nucleotides. Lineage: Eukaryota; Metazoa; Chordata; Mammalia; Rodentia; Cricetidae. The record is from RefSeq and is a predicted model, not a curated record.
UUGGUUUUUCAAGACAGGGUUUCUCUGCAUAGCCCUGGCUGUCCUGGAACUCAUUCUGUAGACCAGGCUGGCCUCGAACUCAAUAGAGAUCUGCCUGCCUCUGCAUGCAUCACCAUCACCUGGUGAGAAAGGGUUUAAGUCGAAGGUAAAACGCAUUUCCUGCCCAUAACAUCUUCCCUUCUGGCCCCAGUGCAGGUCUGGACAGCGUGGUGCCAGCCAGUCUCGUCGCGAUAUGAAAGAUGCUGCACCAGCCGGUGAUGACAGCAGCUGUGUCCUCUGGGUCCAUUGAUCAGAUAACAAUGAAGAAACCAAUCCACACAGCAAGCAGGAGUGUGAGAGAUGAGCCACCCGUCCCUCCGAAAAGGGGUCGUUUAGAUCCUUCCUGUGCACAUGAGUCUCACGUCACCCUCCGGAGUGUCGAGAAGAAAGACGAGCCGUGGAACGUGCGUACAUAUGGGUGGCUCGCAGAUGCUAAAAAUAUUUAUAUCCAAACAUUUUAAACUUUAAGCAGAUCUUUUCAGCUGCUUCUGUUCCUGCAAAGACCCUUGAGAGUUUCAGCCCAAAAUGACUCUUUUAAUUGAAUUUAAAAACAUUUUUUUUCCCAGAGACAGACUCUCUCACUGUCUGAGGUGGCCCAGGGUGGCCUCAAACUCAUAAUCUUCCUGCCUCCACCUCCCAACUAUUGGCAUUACAGGUGUGUAAUACCAUGGUCAGCUUUUAAUUAAUUGAUUAAUUAAAUUAAUUAAUUAGCACUCGUCUAUUUAUUGAUUUUGUGCAUGUGCCACAGAACACGCAUGUUGAUCGGAAGGCAACUUGGGAGUCUGUUCUCUCCUUCUACCACGGACAGCUCAGUGGCAUUGUUUUCACAUGGCUGUGCCACCACCACCCUCCCCCUCCAGAGUCUAAAGCCCUCUGCACUUGUUAGUGACAGCCAGUUCCCAUCGUGCCCUGUGGGCAGUGCUCUCCUCCCUGACUGUGACGCUGACUGUUCUAGUAAGUUCCUUACAGAAGGAGGCGUGUACAGUAUCUGUCUUCUCUUUCUUUCCUUCUUUCUUUGGUUUCUCUCCUUUUCUUUCUGUGCUGGCUGGUCUUCUGUCAACUUGACACACAAACUAGAGGUAUCUGAAGGGAGGGAAACUUAAUUGAGGAAAUGCCUCUGUAAGAUCCAGGUGUAAGGCAUUU